UUCUUCCAAAGCCCGGAUGGACUUCCUUCUUUGGAGAAGCUUCAUCUUCGAUGCCAUGUGAGAACCACGGACAGCAAGAUGACCAAUAGAAAAGAGGAACAAAGCUUUAAAGGAGGAGAAAUAGGAAAAAAAUGGUGGGGAACAGUCUUGAGGUGGAGAAUAGGUAGAAGAUUCGGGUUUUUGGUCGGAGGAGUAGUCUUGAGGUGG
Molecule: long non-coding RNA, 207 nt
Filed under: Elaeis guineensis (African oil palm)
Lineage: Eukaryota; Viridiplantae; Streptophyta; Magnoliopsida; Arecales; Arecaceae
Description: long non-coding RNA (EGUI_LNC031870)
Source: RNAcentral